AGAUUUUAUUAUGUUUAUGCUUAAAAGUAUAUUUCAUUUAAGUUUUCUAAAUGUGUUUGCUCUUUUCUUUACUAUUCAGCUUAAAUAGAGAAGUAUGAGUCUGUCUGUGUCUACUCAACAGGAAACCUGCAUGCUGUGCAAACUCAAACAGGAAGUCUGCACAGAGCACAGUUUAUUUUUAUCUUCCUGUACGUUUCUGAGUUACAUGAAUAUGCUUGAGUAUAAAUAAACGCUGACAACUGCUGCAGGGGUGUGAGUCUCCGUUGAGCUCUCACCCGUGUGCACGUUAAUUUGCAAACCUGUCUGAGUGUCAAUUAUUCUGACCUGAGUUGCAUUACAGGAAAACUCCUGACAUUUCUUGGUCCUCCGAGCCGGAUGGGACAACCCUUUUGUGUAAAUCCCACAGGAAAACCUCAUCGAGUCCUGACGUCGUGAGAAGCCCACGCUGAAGUCUGUCGACAGCUCCUGUCUAGGUACAGGAUAAAAGACCAGAGACGUACAAUUCGGGUUCUGGCCAGCGUUCUUAUAAGUGGUCCACGACGGUGGGGGUCGAUGAGGUGGACCUGAGAGACCGGCAGUGAAUCAGCAACCAGUGUUUUGCAGGUUGAAGCCAGGUGAUUGGAUCCUGAUCAAAGUACUCCAAAGGAAAAAUUGGAGUUCACCAAGGUGGGAAGGUCCUUAUCAAGUGCUACUCACCACACCAACUGCCUGCAAAAUAGCAGAAAGACCGUCCUGGAUUCAUCAAAGCCACUGCAAAAAAGUGAGUGACAACAUAAACUAAUAGACGCCGACGCCCCUGCACUCUGGUGAUCCGAAGGUGGAGGGAGGGCUGAUUGGGAAAAUUCCCGCCCUUGACCUUCUUGCCUUUGGUCUACUCAUCAGAGGUUACAGGUGUGUCUGGUCAUCAUGAAGACACUUGUCCUCCUAGUGGCUAGUGUUGCACUCUUGGUGAGUUUAUUAACACUCACCCGAAAGAAAGAAGAUGAACAACACCACCUGCAGACAAGAUGGACACAUGAUAACUCACAUCUUCGUGACAUGACACAAGACCACAUUCACCCAUGGAUGAACAAUGCAUGGUACCGCUAUGUCUAUGACAGCACACCUACUAAAGACUGCUAUAUCUGCUCACAUAUGCCGCCAACCACACAGCAUGCAAUGUUGUAUGGCAAAGCAAUGAACAUGACUCAGGCAAAGUGUGCCGCAAGUUACGCCAGCCUUGGAUAUCAAUACCGGGGAAUGGUGAUCAACCACAGCAAUCCUCUGGAGAUAGGAUUACGAAAUGGGACAUGUGAUAAAUGGUUCUGGAUUGACCUGAAAGUGAAGCGCAGGAGUAAGGCUGAAUCAUUCCCAGUCUUUCUUGAAAACAAUGGAAAUUUGACACACACCCUGUGCUACCGCCAAGAGAACGGAUCGACGCCAAUGGGAAACACCACCAACUGCAAAGCAGUGCAGACACACGCUCCUGGAGGACCAGUGAAGAGCAGCAACAUCUCGAAUGGCACCUUUUGGGUGCAAGGUAUGGCCUGGCUUUGUGGCCAACGAGCCUAUUUUAUCCUUCCUAGGAAUUGGACAGGUCAGUGCGCUCCCAUUUUCAUAUCUGACCACACUUUCAAGAUAACCGUGGAAGCCACGUCAACAACAAGGAAAAGACGAAGUACCCCAGAUCUCAAGCGGCAUGAUUCCAUGUGGGGUUCUGAUGUCCCACAAGAAUUUAAACUUUGGACUGAGAAACAAAAGGUUGCUCACGCACUCUUCCCAUGGGUGGGAGUAGGAAAACACGCUUUAAGAAUAGAGACUCUGAAUUACCGCUUUGGACUUUUCUUGAAUGCUUCAUGUAAAAUCAACGACGAACAGAAUCAAGAAAUUGACGCUCUGCGCAUUGCAGUAAUGCAACACAGGGUAGCUUUAGACAUGAUUCUCGCUGAGACAGGAGGACUAUGUGUCCUCUUUAACAACACAUGCUGCACAUACAUUCCAGAUAAUGUACACUCAUCCAACAUGACUGACGCUCUGCACACACUCAGACAACUCAGGAAUGCACAACAACAAGACUAUGUCACAGACACAGAAGACUGGCUCACGUGGUUGUUAAGUGGUUCUUGGAAGUCCCUGCUGAUUAAAGGACUUGUUUUUCUUGGUGUUCUGCUACUGUUAUUAUGUCUAUUCACAUCAUGCGUCAUACCUUGUUUGAAGAACAUGGUGUCAAAAAUAGUAACUGCUUCAAUUAAUGCUUACAUCACCCUACCACAGAAUGAAGAAGGUGACAAUGAGAUAGACAUUUGGAUAUAACAUACUCACAAAACCCACUAUUUAAUGAUGUCUUGGCUAAAAAUGUUUCACAAGUGGCCAUAGACUGAUACAAUGUUAGUGAGUUGCUAUGUACAUAUAUAGAAGAAAAGAUCUAACAUCAGGAGGGAAUGUUGAAAGAUUUUAUUAUGUUUAUGCUUAAAAGUAUAUUUCAUUUAAGUUUUCUAAAUGUGUUUGCUCUUUUCUUUACUAUUCAGCUUAAAUAGAGAAGUAUGAGUCUGUCUGUGUCUACUCAACAGGAAACCUGCAUGCUGUGCAAACUCAAACAGGAAGUCUGCACAGAGCACAGUUUAUUUUUAUCUUCCUGUACGUUUCUGAGUUACAUGAAUAUGCUUGAGUAUAAAUAAACGCUGACAACUGC
This is a long non-coding RNA of Pelmatolapia mariae (spotted tilapia), 2671 nucleotides long. RefSeq lists it as uncharacterized. The record is from RefSeq and is a predicted model, not a curated record. Lineage: Eukaryota; Metazoa; Chordata; Actinopteri; Cichliformes; Cichlidae. The transcript is spliced from 2 exons.